Ictalurus furcatus (blue catfish) is the source of this 3259-nucleotide long non-coding RNA. RefSeq lists it as uncharacterized. The record is from RefSeq and is a predicted model, not a curated record. The transcript is spliced from 5 exons. NCBI's taxonomy places the organism in Eukaryota, Metazoa, Chordata, Actinopteri, Siluriformes, Ictaluridae.
CGCUCAAAGUGUCAGAGACGUGCCGGCGCGCGAGACAACUUUUUUUUAUGCCCCUCUUCUUCUCUCUCUCUCUCCGCCAUCAUCACCUCUCUGUCAUCUCGUCCGGUUUUAUUAGGACCAAACGGACUUUCGGGGCCUCGGGACGUCGGCGUGGAGUCCACAGCGAGUGGUCGGAGAGGCCGAGAAUGCAAGACGAUAUAAUGUGCUGUGCCUGAAGUUUUUUUCUGACGAGAUCUGUUUGUGGCACCAUUUCGGGCGGUUAGAGCUGUAAUGAAGCCAGCUGCAGCGGGACAUGGUAUCAGUGUGGCAUCAUCUCGCUGCCAGCAGAAUACAAACACGCGGUUGGGACUGACAGGAGUGUGAGGCAUCAUUUUGAUCUGCCAUGAAACUGGAGUAUCAGAUGUGGAGCCGAAGAGAGCACAGUGGCUGUUGUCAGUUGGAUUAAGGCCAGAUCCUGGAGUGCUCCAAGACAGAAAAGCAGUUCCUUGGUUGUGUGUCUGUGUAAUGUUUAAUGUGACCUGACAUGGCGAGAAUGUGCAUUUAACUAGCAGACAGGCCUUUUUAACAUAACCAUAGAACAUAGCUGGUUUUAGGGUUUUCCAUUAAGAUUUCAUUGCAUGCCUUUUAGAUGGAAAAAUAGUUUUUCUAUAAUAGUAGAAAUGAACUGAGACUGAAUAAUUAAACUUGCACGCUUUUUUAACAUGGCUACUAGUUUAUUAGUAUGGAUGAUGUUCCUGUGACCUGACAUCAACUCUGUUGUCUCCUUGGAGGUCAAGGUCGUACCGCUUCACCAUCAGGUCCACGUUUGCCUCGGCGAACAUUCAACGCUGUCGGUGAGUUUGAGCUAAACUGACAAAACCAUCGACCGUUGAUUGUACCCCAUGGCCAAACUCUGUCAACACUCCUGAACACGGGCUCAAAUAUCGAGAGACUGUCCUGGGACGUCGCCUUCCUCCUCUAAACCGCUUUUGAGUACUUGGGGCUCGGGGGGGGAAAAAAAAAACCUCUAUCAAAGGUCACAAUCAACAUUCAUUGCUGUCGGUGGGUUGCACUGUGAAGGAAAGCUCACUGAACAAUGAAUGCAACUGUGUCCCAGUCUUUCUCGUCCCACGUUAUCAAACUGAGAUGAUGAAAUCUUUUGCUAACUCGCGCUUAGUAUUGCUUGUAUCUCCACAUUAUGAAGAAUUGGACUGUAUCGCAAAGAAUAUCCGCAGGUACAGAACACUACUUGCAUUAAUGGGGAACAUGUGAGUAAAGAAUAUUUGUCACUGCUUCCUUGUGUUUUAUUGCUUUAAUAAUUCACUACCAUACCACAGCCGGGUGUGUAGUUUAUAUCCGAGCAAAGCAAAGGUUUAUUCUCGCCAUUUUCCUGACUUUUUAUCAACCACACACACCUUAGAACCUUCAUGAAAUUUGUUUCCAUCUAAGCAUUUGAAGCAAAUUGUUUAAUAUAUUUCACUGACCUUUUAUUUUUAACUUUUCUAAAAUUGAAAGCACGGAGGCACGAAUGUUUAAAGUGUUAGAUUAUGGCCCAAAGGAGUGUUUUGUUGGAAUUAUGCCCCAGGUUCUGUCUGCUUAAACAUUUUUUUUUUUUUAGCUGGAGGCUAACCUGAAUGAGCAGAGGAGGCUUAGUGACCUCAAUAUUUAUCUGCUACAGUUUACACGAGCCUGAGAAAAUGUACUGGCCCUUUCUAGGCUAAACCGAGAUUACGUCUCGUUGCUGUUCGUUCACGAAACAUUAAUCCAAAUUAUAUUGGUAAAGUAGCUGAACUGCUUUAUCGUAUCAGUGUCUGGGUGAGAGUGCAGAGGAACCUCUGUAUUUUUUUUUUUGGGGGGGGGGGCGACUGUCAAUCAGUCAUCUGGAUUAAUUAACAUUAGAUUAGAGUUCAAUCCAAAUGCCAUAAUGGCUGCCAUCUUUAAUCUCUGUAGCUCUCCAUGUGGUUUUUGUCAUCUUGAGAUGCUUAGAAGAAACAAUACGGCUAUGUCAACGCAUAAAAGAGGAAACUGUUAUGUUCAUGCCAUUAAAAAGUAACAGAGUUGUAUUACAAGGGAAAAAAGAAUAUAAUAUGCAAAUUCAUUCAGCGUCAGUAAGCACUUUAUUCUAAUCAUGGUUGUAUUGGCUCUGCAGCCUAUCCCAGGAACAAUAGACAUGAGGCAGGAAUACACACUGGAUGGGACGCACGAGUCCAUUGCAUGCAUGCAUGCAUGCAUACAUACAUGCAUACAUGCAUGCAUGCAUGCAUGCAUACAUACAUGCAUACAUGCAUACAUACAUGUAUGCAUACACGAUCACGUGGAAUAAGGUGAUGGAGCUCCAAUAGUGAUUGAGAAGGAUGUUAUAGCUUCAAUAUGUCACACCAUGUAUAAAAAUAUACAGAAAUGUAUGAAACAGGCUGUGGAGCUGCUCUGUCCCUUUUCUAAUUUGAUUUUGGGAUCUCCACUCAAAACAGUAAAAAUAUAAAUAUAUAUAUAUAUGUGUGUAUGUGUGUGUGUGUGUGUGUAUAUGUGUGUGAAUAAUUAUGAUAGCAGAUUGUAUAGUUUAUAUCACAUACCAUCACACACGAUCAAAACAUCUGUGAAAAUAUCCUUGCAAAUAAUGUCAGCUUGCUUUUUUUUCUCUGCUAUUCAUCUCUAAGACAGAGCGAGAUCAAUCAUUGAUGAGUUGACCUGCAGUAACAUUAACCUACACUAACUACAGCAGUGUCAAAGAUCAGGAGUUUCAGUUAAUCACCAAUAUCAGAAUGUAGAAAAAGUGUGGACUCUUUGUCUUUAACCGUGGCAUCGUUGUUGGUGUUGAUGGGCUGGUUUGAGUAUUUCAGAAACUGGUAAUCUCUUGGGAAUUUCACACACACAACAGUCAAUAAGAGUUUACACAGAAUAGUGCGAAAAACCAAGAACAGUGGGUGACAGUUCUGUGGGUGGAAACACCUUGUUGGUUAGAGAGGUCAGAGGAAAAUGUCCAGAUUGCUUCAAGAUGACUUGAAUUCUAUAGCAACUCAAAUAAUCACGCUUUGCAACUGUAGUGAGCAGAAAAGCAUUUCGGCAUGCACAAAACAUCAAGCCUUGCAGUGGAUGGGCUACAACUGCAGAAGACCACACCAGGCUCCACUCCUGUCAAUCAAGAACAGGAAUCUGAGGCCAUCAUGGGCACAGGCUCACCCAAACUGGACAGUUGAAGAUUAGAAACUGAUUGAAUGACUGCAUAAAUGAGCAGGUGUACAGGUGUUCCUUUUAAGGUGACCGGUGAGUGUACAUAGGU